CCUACGGGAUGCAGCAGUGAGGGAUAUUAGGCAAUGGGGGAAACCCUGACCUAGCAACGCCGCGUGAAGGAUGAAGGUUUUCGGAUUGUAAACUUCUUUGACGAGGGACGAUAAUGACGGUACAUCGAAAACAAGCCACGGCUAUCUACGUGCCAGCAGCCGCGGUAAUACGUAGGUGGCAAGCGUUGUCCGGAUUUACUGGGUGUAAAGGGCGUGUAGGCGGGUUUGCAAGUCAGAUGUGAAAUGCAGAGGCUUAACCUCUGAGCUGCAUUUGAAACUGCGAAUCUUGAGUGAUGGAGAGGUAAGCGGAAUUCCCGGUGUAGCGGUAAAAUGCGUAGAUAUCGGGAGGAACACCAGUGGCGAAGGCGGCUUACUGGACAUUAACCGACGCUGAGGCGCGAAAGUGUGGGGAGCAAACAGGAUUAGAUACCCGAGUAGU
This 439-nucleotide ribosomal RNA is filed under the name uncultured bacterium. RNAcentral describes it as "bacterial SSU rRNA". It matches the Rfam family "Bacterial small subunit ribosomal RNA", at positions 338 to 794 of the family's 1533-position model. The record is from RNAcentral.